RNAcentral lists this transfer RNA (524 nucleotides) under uncultured Prochlorococcus sp. RNAcentral's name for it is "partial 16S-23S ribosomal RNA intergenic spacer". The stretch from base 211 to 283 matches the Rfam family "tRNA". Lineage: Bacteria; Bacillati; Cyanobacteriota; Cyanophyceae; Synechococcales; Prochlorococcaceae. The record is from RNAcentral.
CAGGGAGACAACAAAAUGUUAAAUAUUAAUUUUGUCACUUAGGUCGAUCGGUAUCUCACAUUCUUAAAUAUAUUUAAGGAUUUUAUUUCCUAAGUUUUUUCUAGGUCACACCCAUUUUUUCCCUGGGCCAUUAGCUCAGGUGGUUAGAGCGCACCCCUGAUAAGGGUGAGGUCCCUGGUUCAAGUCCAGGAUGGCCCAUAUCUCUAUGUUGGGGGUAUAGCUCAGUUGGUAGAGCGCCUGCUUUGCAAGCAGGAUGUCAGCGGUUCGAGUCCGCUUACCUCCACUGAUUACCACCUCUUCCAUAAUUUAGAAGGGAGAUUUUUGUGUUGUGAUCAAAUUCUGAACGAAUCUAGCUUCCUAAUAAAUCUUAUUAAGAUGCUGGACUCAUUGAAUUUAAUUCAUUGUUUUCAGAGAACCUUGACAACUGCAUAGAUUAUUUUUAAAGACAAUAAGCAUCUUUAAUGAUGCAGAUUUAUUAUUUGUGCGAAUGCAUUAAUAACAAUUCUAUUAAGCUGAUGCUUCAA